RNAcentral lists this unclassified non-coding RNA (189 nucleotides) under uncultured Russula. RNAcentral's name for it is "sequence contains ITS1". Lineage: Eukaryota; Fungi; Basidiomycota; Agaricomycetes; Russulales; Russulaceae. The record is from RNAcentral.
UCGUACAACCGAGGUGCAAGGGCUGUCGCUGACCCUCAAAGGUUGUGCACGCCCAAGCGCUCUCACACAAUCCAUCUCACCCCUCUUGUGCAUCACCGCGUGGGCCCCCCUUUGCAGGAGGGCUUGCGUUCUCACAUAAAACUUGAUACAGUGUAGAAUGUUUAUUUUUGCGGUAACACGCAAUCAAUA